AUUGAACGCUGGCGGCAGGCCUAACACAUGCAAGUCGAACGGUAACAGGAAGCAUCUUUCUGCUUUUCUAGCGGCGGACGGACGGGUGAGUAAUGUGUGGGAAACUGCCUGAUGUGGGGUGAUAACUAGUGGAAACGGUAGCUAAUACCUCGUAGCUUCUCAAGACCAGAGAGGGUUGCCUUAGUGCCUCUGGCCAUCGUAUGUUCCCGGAUGGUAUUAGCUAGUAGGUGGGGUAACGUCUCACCUAGGCGACGAUCCCGAGCGGGUCUGAGAGGAUGACAAGCCACACUGGAACUGAGACACGGUCAAGACUACUACGGGAGGCAGCAGUGGGGAAUAUUGGACAAUGGGCGCAAGCCUGAUGCAGCCAUGCCGAGUGUAUGAAGAAGGCCUUCGGGUUGUAAAGUACUCCCAGCGGGGAGGAAGGGAGUAAAGUUAAUACCUUUGCUCAUUGACGUUACCCGCAGAAGAAGCACCGGCUAACUACGUG
RNAcentral lists this ribosomal RNA (490 nucleotides) under uncultured bacterium. RNAcentral's name for it is "partial 16S ribosomal RNA". It matches the Rfam family "Bacterial small subunit ribosomal RNA", at positions 30 to 507 of the family's 1533-position model. The record is from RNAcentral.